Molecule: long non-coding RNA, 202 nt
Organism: Dendrobium catenatum
Lineage: Eukaryota; Viridiplantae; Streptophyta; Magnoliopsida; Asparagales; Orchidaceae
Exons: 3
Source: RefSeq, a predicted model, not a curated record
ACUUUAGGUGACAUUUCUUCAUAAAGGAUUUGAUGAAACACGCCGUCUUGGACUUAGUAGUGAAACUGAGAAGGUCGUGAGAAAUGUGUCCUCUCUUGGUGAGACAGGAAUGCUGGUUGUUGAUUCCGUGGUGCCGGGUGGCCCUGCAUACAAAAAAUUGGAGCCUGGUGAUAUUCUGAUUUGCAUAAAUGGGGAGGUGAGG